GGACAGCUUUCAUCAGGAGGCUGAGAGCCCUCCACAGACCUCAUCAAAACAGAUUGCUGCUUUUUACUACAUCGAAAAGUGUGCGUGACUGAGACUGGAUUGGUUGAUCUGGUAGAUAAAUAUGCUGGACCAAACAUCAUAGACCUGAUGUAAAGAAGUCAAUUAAGUUAAAUUAAACGAAGGCAUAAACGAUCAAUUCACGCUUGGCUUUGUCUCCAGGAUGCCAAGAACAAAUAGGAGCAGCCUAUAGUCUCUUUCAAGCUGUGAAAUGGUAAGUAACAGCAGAAUAUAAAUAGGUUUUCAAGGAUUCAAAGACUGAGAGGACA
RNAcentral lists this long non-coding RNA (326 nucleotides) under Sinocyclocheilus rhinocerous. Its description in RNAcentral is "lncRNA (ENSSRHG00000029353.1)". The record is from RNAcentral. Lineage: Eukaryota; Metazoa; Chordata; Actinopteri; Cypriniformes; Cyprinidae.